UGGGGGGAUAUUGCACAAUGGGGGAAACCCUGAUGCAGCAAUGCCGCGUGAGGGAAGAAGGUCUUCGGAUUGUAAACCUAAGUAGUCAGGGACGAUAAUGACGGUACCUGAAGAGUAAGCUCCGGCUAACUACGUGCCAGCAGCCGCGGUAAUACGUAGGGAGCGAGCGUUGUCCGGAUUUACUGGGUGUAAAGGGUGCGUAGGCGGGUUUGCAAGUCAGGCGUGAAAUACCGGGGCUUAACUCCGGGGCUGCGCUUGAAACUGUAGAUCUUGAGUGAAGUAGAGGCAGGCGGAAUUCCCAGUGUAGCGGUGAAAUGCGUAGAUAUUGGGAGGAACACCAGUGGCGAAGGCGGCCUGCUGGGCUUUAACUGACGCUGAAGCACGAAAGCAUGGGGAGCAAACAGGAUUAGAUACCCUGGUAGU
Molecule: ribosomal RNA, 423 nt
Filed under: uncultured Clostridium sp.
Lineage: Bacteria; Bacillati; Bacillota; Clostridia; Eubacteriales; Clostridiaceae
Description: bacterial SSU rRNA
Rfam family: Bacterial small subunit ribosomal RNA
Source: RNAcentral